GAAGGGAAAUUCAUGAUGAACAAGUGGGGUCGGUUUAAUCUAGGCGCACGGGUGCGUAACGCGUGGGAAUCUGCCCUUAGGUACGGAAUAACUCAGGGAAACUUGUGCUAAUACCGUAUGAUGUCGCAAGACCAAAGAUUUAUCGCCUAAGGAUGAGCCCGCGUUGGAUUAGCUAGUUGGUGGGGUAAAGGCCUACCAAGGCGACGAUCCAUAGCUGGUCUGAGAGGAUGAUCAGCCACACUGGGACUGAGACACGGCCCAGACUCCUACGGGAGGCAGCAGUGGGGAAUAUUGGACAAUGGGCGAAAGCCUGAUCCAGCAAUGCCGCGUGAGUGAUGAAGGCCUUAGGGUUGUAAAGCUCUUUUACCCGGGAAGAUAAUGACUGUACCGGGAGAAUAAGCCCCGGCUAACUCCGUGCCAGCAGCCGCGGUAAU
RNAcentral lists this ribosomal RNA (434 nucleotides) under uncultured bacterium. Its description in RNAcentral is "bacterial SSU rRNA". It matches the Rfam family "Bacterial small subunit ribosomal RNA", at positions 64 to 524 of the family's 1533-position model. The record is from RNAcentral.